UUAAUUCAUUCAAAAAAAUAUGGCACUGGGCCAACUCAGACUGCUGAUUCAAUAGUUUGCUUUGAACAGACCCUCUCCCAGGAGCCUACAUAGUAAAGUAAAUUCAACUAGCAGGAAGGGUUAAACAACUAGUAAAACCAACCACCUGGGAAAGCAACAUGGAUCAGUACACAGAGAGGUUUUGGGUCAGGAAACACUUAUAUGUUCCAUAUAUAAAUAAUGAUCCUUCCGCAGGUUCACCUACGGAAA
This 249-nucleotide unclassified non-coding RNA is filed under the name uncultured fungus. Its description in RNAcentral is "sequence contains ITS1". The record is from RNAcentral. Lineage: Eukaryota; Fungi.